UAGCUCAGUCGAUAGAGCAUGAGACUCCUAAUCUCAGUGUCGUGGGUUAGAGCCCCAC
Molecule: non-coding RNA, 58 nt
Organism: Danio rerio (zebrafish)
Lineage: Eukaryota; Metazoa; Chordata; Actinopteri; Cypriniformes; Danionidae
Source: Rfam